This 430-nucleotide small nuclear RNA is filed under the name Medicago truncatula (barrel medic). RNAcentral describes it as "lncRNA gene29907". The stretch from base 1 to 162 matches the Rfam family "U1 spliceosomal RNA". Lineage: Eukaryota; Viridiplantae; Streptophyta; Magnoliopsida; Fabales; Fabaceae. The record is from RNAcentral.
UCACUUACCUGGAUGGGGUCAAUGGGUGAUCAAGAAGGCCCAUGGCCUAGGCAAGUGACCUCCAUUGCACUUUGGAGGGGUGCUAGCCUAAGGUCUACCCCAAGUGGUGGAGCCUACAUCAUAAUUUGUUGCCGUGGGGGUUUGCGUUCGCGCAGCCCCUUCCAAUUUAGUUAUGAAAAUAUAAACUUGCCAAGACCUGAUAACCGGAUCAUAAUCUGCUAAUUGAAGAUAAUGCAAAGUAAACAUCUCUGCAGUAUUUAUUAGAAUUAUUCUGUAUUGCAGGCUGUUAGAUAAGUGCAGGAGGAUUUGUUAGGGAACAUAUUCAUUAGAAACUACUUUUCCCAUCUCUACUUUGAGUUUCCUAUUUGAAAAGAGUUGUAAAUCAUAUAAAAAAUAUCAUUUAAUUUUUGCAGGCGGAUUAUCAUACACG